RNAcentral lists this transfer RNA (86 nucleotides) under Golenkinia longispicula. RNAcentral's name for it is "tRNA-Ser". It matches the Rfam family "tRNA". From Rfam's summary of the family: Transfer RNA (tRNA) molecules are approximately 80 nucleotides in length. The record is from RNAcentral. Lineage: Eukaryota; Viridiplantae; Chlorophyta; Chlorophyceae; Chlamydomonadales; Golenkiniaceae.
GGAAAGAUGACUGAGUGGUUUAAGGUACGGACCUGGAAAGUCCGCGUAGUUUUUUACUACCGAGGGUUCAAAUCCCUCUCUUUCCG